CAGCCGCCGCGGUAAAACGGAGGGCGCGAGCGUUACCCGGAUUUACUGGGCGUAAAGGGCGUGUAGGCGGCCUGGGGCGUCCCAUGUGAAAGGCCACGGCUCAACCGUGGAGGAGCGUGGGAUACGCUCAGGCUAGAGGGUGGGAGAGGGUGGUGGAAUUCCCGGAGUAGCGGUGAAAUGCGCAGAUACCGGGAGGAACGCCGAUGGCGAAGGCAGCCACCUGGUCCACUUCUGACGCUGAGGCGCGAAAGCGUGGGGAGCAAACAGGAUUAGAUACCCCUGUAGUCCCUGUCUCUUAUAC
This 301-nucleotide ribosomal RNA is filed under the name uncultured bacterium. RNAcentral's name for it is "partial 16S ribosomal RNA". It matches the Rfam family "Bacterial small subunit ribosomal RNA", at positions 509 to 807 of the family's 1533-position model. The record is from RNAcentral.